UGGGCAACCUGCCCCUCUCUCUGGGAUAACCCCCGGGAAACCGGAGCUAAUACCGGAUACUCCGGCUGGAUCGCAUGGUCCGGCCGGGAAAGGUCCGCCGGAGAGGGAUGGGCCCGCGGCCUAUCAGCUUGUUGGUGGGGUCAUGGCUCACCAAGGCGACGACGGGUAGCUGGUCUGAGAGGACGACCAGCCACACUGGAACUGAGAUACGGUCCAGACUCCUAGGGAGCA
This 231-nucleotide ribosomal RNA is filed under the name uncultured bacterium. RNAcentral's name for it is "partial 16S ribosomal RNA". It matches the Rfam family "Bacterial small subunit ribosomal RNA", at positions 118 to 347 of the family's 1533-position model. The record is from RNAcentral.